RNAcentral lists this ribosomal RNA (206 nucleotides) under uncultured bacterium. RNAcentral describes it as "partial 16S ribosomal RNA". It matches the Rfam family "Bacterial small subunit ribosomal RNA", at positions 568 to 774 of the family's 1533-position model. The record is from RNAcentral.
UGCGUAGGCGGUUUAACAAGUCGGAUGUGGAAUACCCGGGCUUAACCCGGGGUGUCAUUCGAAACUGUUAAACUUGAGUGCAGAAGAGGAAAGUGGAAUUCCCAGUGUAGCGGUGAAAUGCGUAGAUAUUGGGAGGAACACCAGUGGCGAAGGCGACUUUCUGGGCUGUAACUGACGCUGAGGCACGAAAGCGUGGGGAGCAAACA